GUCCACGGUUUCUGGAACCAUGAAAAAGGAGACAAUGAGAACUUAGCCAUCAUCCUCAGGGAAAAGUACGGCCGGAAGAAUUACCUCCUUGCUCCCAAGCAGACUCCAAGAGCAAGACUACCGCUAGGCUGAGCAGAAACAUGCACGGGGAACCCUGCCAGAUAGCCCGACGCCACCCGGCGUCUCUCGCAAAGGACGGAAGAUUUUUCAUCAAAUGGAGAGGGGACACAGAAGGCAAGACAGCCGGACCGGACGUAGAACAUACACACAAGAGACAAAUCCCCGAGCCCACUGAAAGCGUCGAGGGGAGAGCUACUGACAGCGCAGUUCUUGUUGUGGAAACAUCGGAGAAGAAGGAUCAAACAGCGUGUUU
Molecule: long non-coding RNA, 373 nt
Organism: Branchiostoma belcheri (Belcher's lancelet)
Lineage: Eukaryota; Metazoa; Chordata; Leptocardii; Amphioxiformes; Branchiostomatidae
Exons: 3
Source: RefSeq, a predicted model, not a curated record